UACGUAGGUGGCGAGCGUUAUCCGGAAUUAUUGGGCGUAAAGCGCGCGCAGGCGGUUUCUUAAGUCUGAUGUGAAAGCCCACGGCUCAACCGUGGAGGGUCAUUGGAGACUGGGGAACUUGAGUGCAGAAGAGGAAAGCGGAAUUCCACGUGUAGCGGUGAAAUGCGUAGAGAUGUGGAGGAACACCAGUGGCGAAGGCGGCUUUCUGGUCUGUAACUGACGCUGAGGCGCGAAAGCGUGGGGAGCAAACAGG
This 253-nucleotide ribosomal RNA is filed under the name uncultured bacterium. Its description in RNAcentral is "partial 16S ribosomal RNA". It matches the Rfam family "Bacterial small subunit ribosomal RNA", at positions 524 to 776 of the family's 1533-position model. The record is from RNAcentral.